Long non-coding RNA from Anopheles gambiae (African malaria mosquito), 4752 nucleotides. RefSeq lists it as uncharacterized. The transcript has 4 exons. The record is from RefSeq and is a predicted model, not a curated record. NCBI's taxonomy places the organism in Eukaryota, Metazoa, Arthropoda, Insecta, Diptera, Culicidae.
GCAAAGUAUGUUUCUCUUAAGCAUUCAUCGAAAGUGGCGACGGUAAGCAAAGAAGUGAGCUUUCCUCAGUAAAGUGCUUGCCAAACUUGGUAAGAUGUAUUAACUCUCAUCACACCGUGUGCUAGGGUCGUGGUUUACGAAGGAACUAAGGAGCCGAAAGGUUUGUGUCUCUGCUAAAACUGGAAAAUCCUUUUCCUCAAAUUUCCCAGCAUGGCUUAUCGUAUGGGAUAAAAUAUCCCUUUUCGCCUCGUUAUGAUUUAUUUUUACCAACGCAAAAUCAGUCUAGUUUUAUUUUUGCAAACGCCGCAACCUCUACCGAAGCACAACUCAAAUCCUGUCAUGUUGAGUUGGAUUAAUCUUUGGAAUAUGUGAAGGCUGGCUAUUUUUCCGAUAACUGUUUCAGAUGCGUAUUGUUGUGCAGGAUUUAUUUCGAUUAGCUAACUUUAAGUAACAGUAACAGUUGUCUUCAUGGCUUAAGUUCUAAAAUGUUUGCAAUAAAUUUAAUUGAUGUGCAUUUAAUCAAUAUACAAAGCUAACAUUCCUCUGUUUGAUGUGAGAUGCAGAAAUAAGAAUUUUAUGUUUGGGUUUGUAUCGUUGAUCAAAAUAAUUGGAAAUAAACUACAGUCAGAGUUCAAUACUUGAACACUUUUAAGUUGGUAUGCUUUUAAAUUGAACGCUCGAUAGUUGGCUGAAAGUUCAAUGAAAAUACAUACGUCUGCAUGGAAAAAUCAGGUUCUGACCAAUUUACAAAAAUCUCAUGGCCUGCCCAGAAAAAUUUCAGAAAAAUUGUGUGUGGAAAAACAUGCCAACUAACAAAACAAGCACAUAUUCAAUAGUUCAAUAGUUGGCCGGUCUCGUAGUACAGUCAUCAACUCGUACGACUUAACAACAUGCCCGUCAUGGGUUCAAUCCCCAAAUAGACCGCGUCGCCAUACGUAGGACUGACUAUCCCGCUAUGGGGGGGGGGAAUCAAUUAGUCACUGAAAGCCAAGCUCACAAAUGGGUACAGGCAGGCCUUGACCGACAUCGGUUGUUGAGCCAAAGAAGAAGAAGAAGAUUCAAUAGUUGACAAGGAAUCGAAGAUCAUCCAGUGAGUUACAGACUGUAUAGCAAUUAUGUCUCUGUGUUUGAAAGUCUGGUAAAAAAUACUGCUGUAAUACGUAUUUUAUUGGCUUUGAAACCUGUCUUUUUAAAGCAUUACGGCAAAGUCAUCCCUCCUGAAUAACAAAAAAAACUGUCUUUUUGUUUUAUUAUCAAUAUGUAAAGUUAGUGCCAAAAAGCCUAAAAGGAACAGAACUCAAAUUUGGAAAAAAAAAUAAAAAGCUUUCUACGGUAAACGUAAUUAAUCAAAUUAUAGAAAUAUGGUCAUUUUUCACAUCAAAAAACUAGCUUUUCAAUAUGCAUUCUAAAUCCGAAUAAAACAAUAUCUUUUGCCAACUAUUUUGCCAUACUUUUUCAUUAUUCUAGAGAUCUAUGUAAAAUGUUUGCAUGCAAAUCUCUAAAAUUUGUUUAAGUUAAACUUGCUUCAAUUUAAUGACACAAAUAUCAAUGAAAUAUUUUGGGCCAAAAUUUAAAUUUAUUUGUCAAUUCUUUUGAGUUUUAACACAACACAUGUUUGUUUUAUUAAAAUAGUUUUCCAUUAUUAUUAAUACAUGCUUAUUAUUAACCAGCAAUCGUACAUAUCUCUCUCCUCUAUUAAGAUUUUACCGAUGGAAACAAUAAGCCGGGUCAAUUAUCUUUUUCCUUGACUCGUAGUUUACACCUACAAAUCCAAACAAAUGUAUUCUUAAAUGUUUUGCAUUGCACUAAUACAAACCAGGCAAGUUAAAGAACACCAAUACAUGAACAAAUUUGUUUCACCAAUACCAUCUUUCAUUUAUUCAUACUUUUAUCACAUAGCUCUUUUCUGAGGCAGACUGGAGUAGGUCUGUCAUACAAACAUCUCUUACGCCUACUAUGUAACAUCGGUAAUGCUAUUAAUGUAUUAGUGUGAUUUGCCCCUUCCUUACAUAUUCACAAACACCACGAACUGUAUGUAACUCUCACACCGUUUCCCAUAUAUCUACAAAUCAAGGGAUCGUUGUGGUUGACGUAUUUACUUUUGGAGCAAAGAGCAGCACAAGUCUCCCUUUGUAGCGUUUUUCAUUACCGAAUAUUUUCUACCUCGUGCCAUACCAGAACCAGCGUGUGCACUACCUAACUAGAGCUCGUGUCUGGAACAGUUUUUCACCAAAACGUGUUCAAACGUUGCCGGGAAAACAUCGUAUUAUCAAGGAAUCUGCAAUAGUUUGUUUGAUAACACAAGUUAUUAGUGUGCAAAGCAAAAUUCGGUGGGCAGUGACUUUUGUUCAAUUCUUCAUAAACAUCGCUAACAUAACAACUGAAGUGCAAAGCCAACUAAACCAUACAUAGCUAAUGAUUACCGUACAGAAAUUAUUUUUGGCAAAAAGAGCAUAGACGCUUUAAGAUAUGUAAACAAUCCAAAAAUAAGAAUGCAUUUGUUGGACAACAUAUUCAUCGAUCUCCAUAUGAUUUGCGAAAAUCAUCAAAAACCGCCUGUAUCGCAUUGGUAUCCUUCGAAUUAUCGGUUUCACAAAUUCAGUACUUAUUUUUUAACAUAUUCAUACAUACUUUUUUUUUGACUGAUAAACUCUUUCGCGUUUAUUGUUUUUUAAUUACGUGUAAUUUUGUUGUUUUGCUUUAUUUUGUUUAUCACAGGUUAAAAAAUCACAGUGUCCCGUACUACAAGUCGUAGGGAGUAUUACAGAUCAAAACUGAAAGCUGCAUUUCAAUCAUAUAAAUACAAAUAUUCAAAAGGCUGGUAACCAUCUGUUCGGAAUCCGUAACAUCAAGAUAUAAUAGCAUAAGUACAUGUCAUAAACAUGUCGUAAAUUUGUAAUAUAUCAAUGUGAACAACUCCAAAUGUAUAUGUAACGCUUUGAUUUAGCAUGGGAUUCAAACAUUUAAAGAUACGAAUAAAUUCCCAUUUAUUCCAUCUGAUCCUAUUCGUGAAACAUAUAUGUGUUAUCAUCCUCUUAGAUGUUAUCAAAACAAAAAUGUGUCUAUUGCAAAGAAUAUUAUUAACUAUUAAUAGUCAAAACUAAGACAGUUUAAUCCAAAGAUAUAACUGUUAUCAUUCGAUCGAUAAAAUAUGACCUUUUGACGAGAAUGCUUACACCUUGCACGACAAUGAGAUCAGAAAAGAUUUCCAGAUAAAUAUAAAGAAAGGAAAAUCGUGAGUUGGUUCGGUAUUAUCUGUAGGAAAGAUCCCUGAAUGUUGAGACUGAUAAAUCGAAUUGGCAGCAAUAGCACGGCAGAACCUGUUUCUUCAACGAGAAUGUGCGGGAGCAGGUUUUCGGCAUACUUCCAUCGCACUCUGUUCUUUUACUCGUGGGUAGCUGAAGUGCUUUAAUAUUUGAAAGAGCAAGGCACGCUCUUUUAUGUAUGUGUGUGUGUUUUUUAUUACUGAAGCAACCUUUGUCAAUUGCCGGUAGCUGCGUCUGCUGCUAUUGUGCUACAACGUUUUCGGUCGUCGCUCGCAAGUUUUGGUACGGACAGUAUAUGCAACACGCUACACUCUCACAACUCAACCAUACGGCCAGCGGGACACAUCGUUGUCAUCUUUAACGUCAUCGCAGUAGACCGGACUACUCUCGUUGGCAUCAUAAUCAUAGCUGUGUUUGCUUCCUGAACUCGUUCUCGUUUCCUACGCAUUUCACACUGUUACUGUUUGCGAAAGAUGUGAUUCAUCCUUUAAUUACACUGCAAUACAUAGUUGAUGAGCUGGAUGGAAUUUGAGUAUAGAUCACACGCAUCUGUGCAGAGUGGUAAAUCAUCGAAUUUCGAAGGAAAAUAUUAUUUGAACAUGUGCUCUUGUUCGUGUGUCAGAGUUUUUAUACAUCUUUAUUAGAGCGGUAUAAGAAAUCUGGUGAUGUAGUGAGCCAAUAUUUCAUCAAAUCCAACGAAGUGAAUUAUCAGUGAAUGAGCGUUGUUCGAGUGCCGCUUCAUGAACGUAUACUGAAUGUAUCCUGAGUGCUACUUAUCCGGUAUACCUUCAGUAUACGUAACAAGAGGCGACACAAUCAUCGUUGAUGUCGUGAUAUGGAUACGGUUUUUGUACAUAAUUCAACACAUUGCAUUACAAUAUAAAACAAUACUCUAUGCUUAAACGUUCGUUUCCGAGAUAUAAGAGAAUUAUUCUGAUGGGUGAAAUUGAAGAAUUGCCUUCGUGUAUACGCUUUUAAAAUAUGUUAAUGUCAAUUGUGUGGUUAAUGUAUCUGCAAGAUACAAAUCAUGUGUGUCAAUUAUUGUUUUAACUCUCCUCAUAUCAUGUGACAUUGUUUAAUGAAUUAUACAUGUGUACUUCUAAAAUUUGGCGCAUAAUUACAUCACAAAAGCAUACAUUACGCACAUCAUAAUAAAUAAUGAAGCUAACGUAAGGAUAAAACUUUUUUAGGAGUAUGAAAUUGUAUUGAAGGCCCUAGAAUAAUGUGACUGAGAGCAAAUUAAUUGAUAAGGACGAAGUAGCCGUAUUGAGAAAUGUAGUGCCUAUCAGCUUCAUACUACAUGAAGAGAAGGAGAAAGAGAGAGAGAGAGAGAGAAAGAGAGCGAGAGAGAGAGAAAGAGAUAGAGAGAGUGAGUUAAAUGGAUAGAUAGAUAGAUAGACCGAAAAAGAGAGAGAGAGAAAGAGAGAGAGAAAGAGAGGGAGAGAGAGAGAGAGAGAGAGAGAGAGAGAGAGAGAGAGAGAGAGAG